Non-coding RNA from Gossypium raimondii (Peruvian cotton), 2057 nucleotides. The record is from Rfam. Lineage: Eukaryota; Viridiplantae; Streptophyta; Magnoliopsida; Malvales; Malvaceae.
CCCAGUGAGUUUAAGCAUAUCAAUAAGAGGAGGAAAAGAAACUUACUAGGAUUCCCCUAGUAGUGGCGAGAGAACCGGAAAAAGCCCAGCUUGAGAAUCGGUCGCCAUCGGAGUCCGAAUUGUAGUCUGGAGAAGCGUCUUCAGUGACGGACCAGGUCUAAGUCCCCUGGAAAGGGGCGCCGGAGAGGGUGAGAGCCCCGUCGUGCCUGGACCCUAUCGCACCACAAGGCACUCUCUACAAGUCGGGUUAUUUGGGAAUACAGCCCUAAUCGGGCGGUAAAUUCCGUCCAAGGCUAAAUAUGGGCGAGAGACCGAUAGCGAACAUGUACCGCGAGGGAAAGAUGAAAAGGACUUUGAAAAGAGAGUCAAAGAGUGCUUGAAAUUGUCGGGAGGGAAGCGGAUGGGGGCUAAUGAUGGGCCUCGAUCGGAUAUGGAACAGCGAGAAUAGGGCCUCAAAGAGAGUCCAUUCAGAAGUCGUAAUGAGGACGUUACGAGAAUGGGUGGGGGAAAAUGUCACAGGCCACAGUUCAAAGCCUGUGACCAUCGCACCAAAUGCAUCCAAUAGAGGUCUAUUGCUCAGAUGGGGAUCAUUUGGCCCACGAGAACUAGCCCGAUUCAAGGAGCUAUUGGAGAAGCCUGUCAGAUUGAAGCCUUGUUGGCCUGAUAAUGAAGACAUGGCAACUUAGGCUAAUAUGGUAACUAAUCUUAGAAGAUAGAGGGAAUCAUAUCUUGUAAAGAUUAGAUUAGAUUUGAUAUGGCAUAUCUUGUAAAUCCCUAAAAUAAAAGGAUAUGGCUAAUCUCGUUCGUUGAUGUAAAUGUAUCUUGACCGUCAGUUUUGGGAGAGCUCAACUAUAAAUAAAGAGCCUCCCCUCAGUUGUACUCACUUCAUUCAUUGUUUCAUUAUUCUUUGUGAAUAAGAGAAUUGAGAGCAUUUACUCAAACACAUUGCGAGCGCUCUUUCUGUUGUUCUUUUGUUUAGCUUCUUUUAGGAUAAAUCUCUUCCGCUCUUUAAUUUGGUGCCUUGGAGGAGUUCUUAAGGAAUCCUCACUUGAAUUAAGGCUGACUUAGGGGAGUUUGGAUGAACGAAUCAUCUAAGGCCGCACGGAUCACAAGAGAAAACUCUAGCCCCGUGACACUAGUAGCUGGUUCCCUCCGAAGUCUUCCUCAGGAUAGCUGGAGCCCUUAGCGAGUUGUAUCGGGUAAAAUCAAUGAUUAGAGGCAUCGGGGGCGCAACGCCCUCGACCUAUUCUCAAACUUUAAAUAGGUAAGACGGUGCGGCUGCUUUGUUGAGCCGCGCUACGAAAUCGAGAGCUCCAAGUGGGCCAUUUUUGGUAAGCGAAACUGGCGAUGCGGGAUGAACCAGAAGCCGGGUUAGGGUGCCCAACUAUGCGCUAACCUAGAAUCCACAAAGUGUGUUGGUCGAUUAACACAGCAGGACGGUGGUCAUGGAAGUCGAAAUCGCUAAGGAGUGUGUAAAAGCUCAUCUGCAGAAUCAACUAGCCCAGAAAAUGGAUGGCGCUUAAACGCGUGACCUAUACCCAGCCAUUGGGGCAAGGGCCAGGCCCCGAUGAUUAGGAGGGCGUGACGAUCAGCGUAAAACCUGAGGUCCGAGCUCGGGCGAAGCGGCCGUCAGUGCAAAUAUUCAAUUGAGAACUUUGAAGGCCGAAAAGAGGAAAGGUUCCAUGUAAACGGCACUUGCACAUGGGUUAGUCGAUCCUAAGAGACGGGGGAAGCCCGUUCGAUAGUGCGUCUAGCACGAGCUUUGAAAGGGAAUCGGGUUAAAAUUCUAGAACUGGGACGCGACGGCUGACAACAACGUUAGGGAGUCCGUAGACGUCGGCGGGGGCCUCGGGAAGAGUUAUCUUUUCUGUUUAACGGCCUGCCCACCCUGGAAACGACUCAGCCGGAGGUAGGGCCCAGCGGACAGAAUAGCACCGAACGUCACGUGGUGUCAGGUGCGCCCCCAGCGGCCCUUGAAAAUCUGGAGGACUGAGUGCCGUCCGCUCUCAUUCUUACUCAUAACCGCAUCAGGUCUCCAAGGUGAACAACCUCUAGUC